Molecule: ribosomal RNA, 245 nt
Filed under: uncultured bacterium
Lineage: Bacteria
Description: partial 16S ribosomal RNA
Rfam family: Bacterial small subunit ribosomal RNA
Source: RNAcentral
GACGUAGGUGGCGAGCGUUACUCGGAAUCACUAGGCGUAAAGCGCGUGUAGGCGGGUAGUUAAGUCCAACGUGAAAUCUCCCGGCUCAACCGGGAAUGGUCGUUGGAUACUGGCUGUCUUGAGUGAUGCAGGGGAAACUGGAAUUCCCGGUGUAGCAGUGAAAUGCGUAGAGAUCGGGAGGAACACCAGUGGCGAAGGCGGGUUUCUGGGCAUCCACUGACGCUAAAGCGCGAAAGCUAGGGGAG